CGGCCCGGUAAGUCGUCCCUGAAAUCCACGGGCUCAACCCGUGGGCUGGGGACGAUACUGCCGGGCUUGGGGGCGGGAGAGGCCGAGGGUACUCCCGGGGUAGGGGCGAAAUCCGAUAAUCCCGGGAGGACCACCAGUGGCGAAGGCGCUCGGCUGGAACGCGCCCGACGGUGAGGGGCGAAAGCUGAGGGAGCAAAGGGGAUUAGAUACCCGGGUAGUCCCAGCCGUAAACGAUGCGAGCUAGGUGACAGAAUGGCCUAAGAGCCAUUCUGCUGCCGCAGGGAAGCCGUUAAGCUCGCCGCCUGGGGA
Molecule: ribosomal RNA, 309 nt
Filed under: uncultured archaeon
Lineage: Archaea
Description: bacterial SSU rRNA
Rfam family: Archaeal small subunit ribosomal RNA
Source: RNAcentral